UUCAUAAUGGUUCGGACAUAUCCGAUGAAAAGAGAAGUGCGGUGAGGGGAGACCCGAUUCCGCCACGGUCCCGCCGCUGUGAAGCUGAGAGUCCUCCAAAAUGUCACUGGGAAACCGGGAAGACGAAGGAAUCGGGGAAGCUGAGUCAGAAGAACUGCCCUAUGAAUA
RNAcentral lists this non-coding RNA (168 nucleotides) under uncultured Dialister sp. The record is from RNAcentral. Lineage: Bacteria; Bacillati; Bacillota; Negativicutes; Veillonellales; Veillonellaceae.